ACACUUUGCUAGGGGUCCGCGCUUCAACAACCUGAGGCCGGUGAGAAAUACCCUCUGAACCUGAUACGGGUAAUGCCGUCGUAGGAAAGCAUAGCCGCACCAUG
Molecule: non-coding RNA, 104 nt
Filed under: Sulfuricella denitrificans
Lineage: Bacteria; Pseudomonadati; Pseudomonadota; Betaproteobacteria; Nitrosomonadales; Sulfuricellaceae
Also listed under: 1 other name
Description: TPP sequence
Rfam family: TPP riboswitch aptamer (THI element)
About the family: Vitamin B(1) in its active form thiamin pyrophosphate (TPP) is an essential coenzyme that is synthesised by coupling of pyrimidine and thiazole moieties in bacteria. The previously detected thiamin-regulatory element, thi box was extended, resulting in a new, highly conserved RNA secondary structure, the THI element, which is widely distributed in eubacteria and also occurs in some archaea.
Source: RNAcentral